Molecule: non-coding RNA, 770 nt
Organism: Mus caroli (Ryukyu mouse)
Lineage: Eukaryota; Metazoa; Chordata; Mammalia; Rodentia; Muridae
Source: RefSeq, a predicted model, not a curated record
AUGGCCCAAGAGAAACUAGAGGGAGGGCCAUUGUGUGACCGCUGCUGCAGGCGCUUGCUCCGAGUAGCCCUGCGGCUCUGCUUCUGCCAUGAUGAUCCACGGCUUUCAGAGCAGCCACCAGGACUUCUCCUUCGGGCCUUGGAAGCUGACGGCGUCCAAGACUCACAUCAUGAAGUCUGCGGAUGUGGAAAAGUUGUACCUACAACAGAUCAUAUAGAUACAGAAAAAUUGAAAGCCAGAGAACAGAUUAAAUUUUUUGAAGAAGUUCUCCUGUUUGAAGAUGAAUUGCAUGAUCAUGGUGUUUCCAGCCUGAGUGUGAAAAUUAGAGUGAUGCCUUCCAGCUUCUUCCUGCUGUUGCGGUUUUUCCUGAGAAUUGAUGGGGUGCUCAUCAGAAUGAAUGACACGAGGCUUUACCAUGAGGCUGACAAGACCUACAUGUUACGAGAAUAUACAUCCAGAGAGAGCAAAAUUGCUAAUUUAAUGCAUGUUCCACCUUCCCUCUUCACGGAACCUAAUGAAAUAUCACAAUAUUUACCAAUUAAGGAAGCAGUUUGUGAGAAGCUUGUAUUUCCAGAAAGAAUUGAUCCUAACCCAGUGGACUCACAAAGCAUGCCCUCAGAAUAAAAUGUGGUACAGCAGACUCUCUCCAUGUGGAACCUGACUGGAUACCUUGGCUAUUUGUAGGGGUAUUUUUAUUAUGAGAAUUAAUUUCCUUGCUUAUGCGCAGAUUUUCUGUAGCCUUAAAGGAAAAUAAAAGAUUGCUGCAGGCA